CUUGUACACACCGCCCGUCACACCAUGGGAGUGGAUUGCACCAGAAGUAGUUAGUCUAACCUUCGGGAGGACGAUUACCACGGUGUGGUUCAUGACUGGGGUGAAGUCGUAACAAGGUAGCCGUAGGGGAACCUGCGGCUGGAUCACCUCCU
This 152-nucleotide ribosomal RNA is filed under the name Alloalcanivorax dieselolei. Its description in RNAcentral is "Alcanivorax dieselolei partial 16S ribosomal RNA". It matches the Rfam family "Bacterial small subunit ribosomal RNA", at positions 1380 to 1531 of the family's 1533-position model. Lineage: Bacteria; Pseudomonadati; Pseudomonadota; Gammaproteobacteria; Oceanospirillales; Alcanivoracaceae. The record is from RNAcentral.